RNAcentral lists this RNase P RNA (377 nucleotides) under Desulfobacteraceae bacterium. RNAcentral's name for it is "RNase P RNA component class A". It matches the Rfam family "Bacterial RNase P class A". Rfam says of the family: Ribonuclease P (RNase P) is a ubiquitous endoribonuclease, found in archaea, bacteria and eukarya as well as chloroplasts and mitochondria. Its best characterised activity is the generation of mature 5'-ends of tRNAs by cleaving the 5'-leader elements of precursor-tRNAs. Cellular RNase Ps are ribonucleoproteins. The record is from RNAcentral. Lineage: Bacteria; Pseudomonadati; Thermodesulfobacteriota; Desulfobacteria; Desulfobacterales; Desulfobacteraceae.
CGAGUAAUCCAGACGAUCGCUGGAUUAACAAAAUGAUCCGGAGGAAAGUCCGAACACCACAGGGCAGGGUGCUCCAUAACAUGGAGUCGCGGUAACGUGAAGGAUAGUGCAACAGAAAGUAUACCGCCUCGCCUUCGGGCGGGGUAAGGGUGAAACGGUGCGGUAAGAGCGCACCAGUUCUCCGGGUGACCGGGGAUGCUUUGUAAACCCCACCUGGUGCAAGACCAAAUAGGGGGACGUUUGAGAACGGCCCGUUCAAGUUCCCGGGUAGGUCGCAAGAGGUGCCGGGCAACCGGCAUUCAUAGAUGAAUGAUCGUCAACCGGUCAAGGGGUAACUCUAACCGGAUACAGAAUUCGGCUUAUGGGUUGCUCGGACC